AUCGUCUUUUUUGUUUAAUAAAUUAUGGAAGUUAUUAUAAUAAUAAAUAAUAAUACAUUUAAUUUAGAGGCGCCUUUCAAGACACCCAAGGUCACCUUACAGAGCAUAUAGUCAUCAUUCAAAAAUAUGUAAAACAGACUAGGAAUAGUCUAGACUAAAGGCUGGCACAAGAGUGUGUUUGGGGGGGAUUCAUACUCAUGUUUAAAAGAGGGGCGUGGACUUGGAAUUGGACACGAUGUCCCCGGUGCAUCAGGAGGGGGAGGAAUGUGUCAGCUCUCAUAGAAUUCCUGAGACUUCUUUCGAUGGCUAACUAAGAGCUCCUCAUCAGACAGGUUACAGUACUAGGCAGUGUAGUCUUCAAACUCCAUGUUUGGCUCAGCGGUAUCAGGUGCAGCUGCAGUGAAGACUGCAUGCCCGGUCGGGAUGGAGAAUAAAUGGGUUUUCAGAACACAAAGCAUGUACAUAAAAUAUAUCACUAAGGUAUAAAGUUACAUGUGAAUACUACUGGACCAAAAGUACAUCCACGAGUCGCAAAAAGUGAAAAUGUUUCGGCACCAAAAUAGGACCCCUUUAGUUUCCUUUUCACUUUAACUUACAAUCUCCGUUAUCUUCUAAGAAUGCAAAACACCUCAACGUAAAGAUUGUCUCUCCCUGCAAUGAGCAAGACACCGCUACAGAGCGUGGUAGGACAGCAGAGAAGAUGAACAGAUCAGCCCAACCUUCCAUCCAGGAACUGUACCCGUCGUCCCGAGACUCCCGCCGAUGCAAGAGAGCCAUCACCACCAUCAAAGACCCCGCCCACCCAGCACACCAACUGAUCACCCUCCUGCCAUCAGGCCAGCGCUGCCGCAGCGUGCGGUGCAGGACUACCAGACUCAGCAACAGCUUUUUCCCGGAGGCCAUCGUCAACUCACUCAAGUAAAUCCAUGAACAUUCUGUAUACACUGCUCUUUUUAUGCACAAUAACUUAUAGUCAUAAUAAAGUGCAACUGUAUCUCCAUGCUGCUCUUCUAUGGUAUUGUUAUUAUGUUAAAUGCUAUAUGUGGUAUAUAUAUUAAUAGCACAUUUGGAGCAUGGUUCAACGCAAUUCCGUCCCUUUAUGUAACUUGUUGCUGACAAUAAAGUUCACUUUGACUUUAGGAAGUGACACAGGAAGCAACUCCAAUUAAAAACCUCCAAUAAAAAGCGAGACUCAAACAGGGUCAGAUUUCACACUUUGAAUCAGUUUUAUUUAUUAACUGAACAUGCUUGCAGAAGACAGUAUUUUUACGUAGCAUUACAAGAAGCUCUAUUAUUAUAAUUGCUAUUAUUAGAAUACCCUCAUCUGAUUGGUUCAGAUAGCAGCCAUAUCAUUUGAUUGUUCGUUUUGCAAGCCGAUCUGUGAUUUGCUCACACAAACCAUAUAAAACACCACAACAAUAAAACGGUUUUAAAUACGUACAAGGUCCUAACCAUUCAGUCGAUUCAAGAAAUGUUAGGAGACAAAACAGAAAUAUGUUAUAUGUAGUCCGCUAGUUUAUUUUAGAUAGUGGGGUUACGAUUAGACACCAGGUCAGCAUGGUUACAUGCACAGCGUAGCGCCUUAACUGCAUUAAGCAAUACAUUCAUUCUCCUUACCGACCUAAGAUGUUUACAUGACAGUUAAUAACUUGCCUGUUUGUCCUAACCAGAUUAGGAUCAGUGUAUUUGCAUGUAAACAUAGAGUUUCUGUGAUAAUGUGGUUGUUUAGUUGGAAUAAGAAGGUGGGUUCCUAUAUGUGUGACAUGGUUAGAUAGUUGGGGGUGAGCUUCUGGGUAAGGUUUAUGUAGUAGAUAGGCGAUGGUUCUAAAUGUGUGUCUGAGGCUGGGGUUAUGUAGUUGGGGUAGGUGCUAUGUGGUUGGGGUUGAGCUUCUCAGGGUUAAGGGUUAGGUAGUAGAUAGGCGAUGGUUCUCAAUGUGUGUCUGAGGCUGGGGUUAUGUAGUCGGGGUUAGGGAUACUUGGCUGGGUUUUCCCUGGGGUUUGGGUUAGGUAGCCGACAGUGGGUGACUAUGUUUGGCUGGGGUCCACCACACGGCCCAUGUGAAGGAUGCUGCCUGUCUUCUCGUGAUAGAUGGUGAAGAGGAAGGGUCUGUUGAUGGUGAGCCGGGGUGGAGGGCUGUUAAAGAUCUCCAUCGGGGAGCGCCCGGUGACCGGGCCGCUCUCGUCCACCGUGAUGGCUGCCUUGUGGUCUGCUCCGUCCUGGAAGACGUCUGUGACCUUCAUCUGCUUCAGGACGUCCUGCAGAUUGCUGGAACUUUCCAUCAGGAAGCGAGGGAGCUGCACCUCCAACCUCCUGUGGAGACCGGGACACAGUGGCCUGCAAACCUUGAAACUGGUUGGGAACCGCCAGUGCACUAACCGGAGCCCAGUCCUCCAUACUGCACUGGGUACUGCACUGAGAGACAGAGCUGCAUGGCCAGCUGGCUCUUCCCUGCUCCACUGGGCCCGGCAAGCUCAGUAAGACCCCAGGGAAGGAGACCACCUCUGAGCACACCAUCCAGAACCGGACACCCCAGCGACACACGCAGUCCACAGUCCCACUCGGGACACUCCCCACGAAAAGUGCAGCUACAGCGGUUUGAAGAUGAUGAACGUCAGAUGCGGACAAUCUUGUCAGUCGCUGCAGGUCGGGUCCCGAAAACUUGAGAAUGUCCCUGGCUACGCCAAUGUUAGCUUAUGCAUAUAGAUACACAGACACAAGUUAUACAUGGUUGAUCAUCACAUAAACUGGAAAUAAAAUAAAUAAACCCAGAAAUGAGACACUGACAUGGCCUUCUUACCAUUAUUGACUGCUUUGAUGAUUCUAGGAUUCAGUUCAAGUUGUUCGAUACUCAUUAUUUUGUCAA
This is a long non-coding RNA of Gadus chalcogrammus (walleye pollock), 2864 nucleotides long. RefSeq lists it as uncharacterized. Lineage: Eukaryota; Metazoa; Chordata; Actinopteri; Gadiformes; Gadidae. The transcript is spliced from 4 exons. The record is from RefSeq and is a predicted model, not a curated record.